AUUCUGGUUGAUCCUACCAGUAAUAUACGCUUGUCUCAAAGGUUAAGCCAUGCAUGUCUAAGUACACACUUUCAUAAAGUGAAACCGCAAAAGGCUCUGUACAACAGCUGUAAUUCCUUAGAUCAUAAACUCAGUUACUUGGAUAACUGUGGAAAAUC
RNAcentral lists this ribosomal RNA (158 nucleotides) under Simulium sirbanum. RNAcentral's name for it is "partial 18S ribosomal RNA". It matches the Rfam family "Eukaryotic small subunit ribosomal RNA", at positions 1 to 158 of the family's 1831-position model. Lineage: Eukaryota; Metazoa; Arthropoda; Insecta; Diptera; Simuliidae. The record is from RNAcentral.